Molecule: transfer RNA, 84 nt
Organism: Microsporum canis CBS 113480
Lineage: Eukaryota; Fungi; Ascomycota; Eurotiomycetes; Onygenales; Arthrodermataceae
Rfam family: tRNA
About the family: Transfer RNA (tRNA) molecules are approximately 80 nucleotides in length.
Source: Rfam
GGUAAGAUGGCCGAGUGGUUUAAGGCGGCAGAUUUAAGCUCUGCUGAGGGAGACCUCUCGUGGGUUCGAAUCCCACUCUUAUCA